RNAcentral lists this ribosomal RNA (404 nucleotides) under Rhizobium leguminosarum. RNAcentral describes it as "bacterial SSU rRNA". It matches the Rfam family "Bacterial small subunit ribosomal RNA", at positions 20 to 454 of the family's 1533-position model. The record is from RNAcentral. Lineage: Bacteria; Pseudomonadati; Pseudomonadota; Alphaproteobacteria; Hyphomicrobiales; Rhizobiaceae.
UGGCUCAGAACGAACGCUGGCGGCAGGCUUAACACAUGCAAGUCGAGCGCCCCGCAAGGGGAGCGGCAGACGGGUGAGUAACGCGUGGGAAUCUACCCUUGACUACGGAAUAACGCAGGGAAACUUGUGCUAAUACCGUAUGUGUCCUUCGGGAGAAAGAUUUAUCGGUCAAGGAUGAGCCCGCGUUGGAUUAGCUAGUUGGUGGGGUAAAGGCCUACCAAGGCGACGAUCCAUAGCUGGUCUGAGAGGAUGAUCAGCCACAUUGGGACUGAGACACGGCCCAAACUCCUACGGGAGGCAGCAGUGGGGAAUAUUGGACAAUGGGCGCAAGCCUGAUCCAGCCAUGCCGCGUGAGUGAUGAAGGCCCUAGGGUUGUAAAGCUCUUUCACCGGAGAAGAUAAUGA